RNAcentral lists this long non-coding RNA (1817 nucleotides) under Homo sapiens (human). Its description in RNAcentral is "long non-coding RNA NONHSAT159652.1". The record is from RNAcentral. Lineage: Eukaryota; Metazoa; Chordata; Mammalia; Primates; Hominidae.
UCUGUAUCAUUGUAGAAAAAGAGGCAGAUAUAUCAGCAUUUGCUGACUAUAGGCCAACCGAAGUAACAGAUUUAAAACCACAAGUGCCACCACCUACCCCACCCCCGGUGGCCGCUGUUCCUCCAACUCCCCAGCCUUUAGCUCCUACACCUUCAGCACCCUGCCCAGCUACUCCUGCUGGACCAAAGGGAAGGGUGUUUGUUAGCCCUCUUGCAAAGAAGUUGGCAGUAGAGAAAGGGAUUGAUCUUACACAAGGACAGGACCAGAUGGUAGAAUCACCAAGAAGGAUAUCGACUCUUUUGUGCCUAGUAAAGUUGCUCCUGCUCCGGCAGCUGUUGUGCCUCCCACAGGUCCUGGAAUGGCACCAGUUCCUACAGGUGUCUUCACAGAUAUCCCAAUCAGCAACAUUCGUCGGGUUAUUGCACAGCGAUUAAUGCAAUCAAAGCAAACCAUACCUCAUUAUUACCUUUCUAUCGAUGUAAAUAUGGGAGAAGUUUUGUUGGUACGGAAAGAACUUAAUAAGAUAUUAGAAGGGAGAAGCAAAAUUUCUGUCAAUGACUUCAUCAUAAAAGCUUCAGCUUUGGCAUGUUUAAAAGUUCCCGAAGCAAAUUCUUCUUGGAUGGACACAGUUAUAAGACAAAAUCAUGUUGUUGAUGUCAGUGUUGCGGUCAGUACUCCUGCAGGACUCAUCACACCUAUUGUGUUUAAUGCACAUAUAAAAGGAGUGGAAACCAUUGCUAAUGAUGUUGUUUCUUUAGCAACCAAAGCAAGAGAGGGUAAACUACAGCCACAUGAAUUCCAGGGUGGCACUUUUACGAUCUCCAAUUUAGGAAUGUUUGGAAUUAAGAAUUUCUCUGCUAUUAUUAACCCACCUCAAGCAUGUAUUUUGGCAAUUGGUGCUUCAGAGGAUAAACUGGUCCCUGCAGAUAAUGAAAAAGGGUUUGAUGUGGCUAGCAUGAUGUCUGUUACACUCAGUUGUGAUCACCGGGUGGUGGAUGGAGCAGUUGGAGCCCAGUGGCUUGCUGAGUUUAGAAAGUACCUUGAAAAACCUAUCACUAUGUUGUUGUAACUAACUCAAGAAUUUCUAAACUCUCCCAGGUCACACUGAUUCAUUCUUAACAAGAUAUUUAUAUGUUAUUAAACAGGUGGUUCUUUUUAUUUUAACCAGUUAUUUUUAUUAUUGAGUCUGUCCAGAUAAGUUAUUUAUAAUGGGCAUUACUGAAUUUUUAAAAUGCCGAUUACACCCAAAUAUUGUGCACAUUUAAUAAUCAGACACCAGAUUUUUAGCUCUGUACUCCUAAUUAAGGGACAUGUAUGUGGCCUUGCCUAGCCCUUUGGUGAUAAGUACUUCCUCUAGGAAAUGUACGAUAGGUAGAAUUGUGGUUCCCUAAAGACAAGUACAUAAAGGUGACCCUGAUGAAACCUUGAAGUUCUGAAAUUUAACUGCCUAAAAUGUUCUCCUUAGAUGUGAGAGAAAGAGAAAUCAGAAAAAUUAAUUCUCUUGGGGGAAGGGCUUGAAUUGAAGCUUUACUUUAGAAUUUAGCCCUGGUUUGAAAUUUUCCAUUACAUGAUCUUGGUUUAUCAUCGAUGGGAAGGGUAGAAAACUUCAAGGAAAAUAAGUGAAAUUUUAAAAGUCAGCAUUUUCUUAGACCUCUUCAGCUGAUUGUUUAUUUUUCUAUGAAUUCCUACACAUGGUUAUUCCCCCCUACUUGAGAUAAUCUAAAUAUAAACCAGCUACUUGAUGUAACUGAGAAUUUGUGUGGAUAUUUAUUUAAACAAAUGUGUAAUUUUGAGUACAGAAUUCAACAGUUACCUCC